CUUACAGAGAUCUUUGGCAUUCUGUCCACCUCCUCUCUUUAUCUUUAUGUGUAUAAGUGUACAUAUCUACGUUGUGUUUUUGUGAGGGGAGGUGGGCAUACUGCCAGUAGAGAUCUGUUAG
Molecule: non-coding RNA, 121 nt
Organism: Arabidopsis suecica
Lineage: Eukaryota; Viridiplantae; Streptophyta; Magnoliopsida; Brassicales; Brassicaceae
Source: the annotation of a GenBank genome assembly